AGUGUGUAACAACUCACCUGCCGAAGCAACUAGCCCUGAAAAUGGAUGGCGCUUCAGCGUCGAGCCCAUACCCGGCCGUCGCGGCUGUAGGUACUUGUGCUUUAUGUCGCGACGAGUAGGAGGGCGCAGGGGUGUGCGUUGAAGGUGCCGGGCGCGAGCCCGUCUGGAGCCGCCCCUGGUGCAGAUCUUGGUGGUAGUAGCAAAUACUCAAGUGAGAACCUUGAGGACUGAGGUGGAGAAGGGUUCCAUGUGAACAGCAGUUGAACAUGGGUCAGUCGGUCCUAAGGGAUAGGAGAAAUCCGUUCCGAAGCGGGACCUUCCUCUUUUUAAUGUUGGUCCCGCCGCAGACCGAAAGGGAAUCGGGUUAAUAUUCCCGAACCCGGACAUGGAGAUCGACCCCUCACGGGGUCCAGUGCGGUAACGCAAACGAACUCGGAGACGUCGACGGGAGUCCCGGGAAGAGUUGUCUUUUCUUUGUAAGGGCUCGGCUCCCUGGAAUCGGCUCGCCCGGAGAUAGGGAUGCUGUACCCGUAAAGCACCGCGCCUCUUGCGGUGUCCGGAGCGCUCCCGUCGGCCCUUGAAAAUCCGAGCGAGAGGUUGUGAUUUUCGUGCCGGACCGUACCCAUAUCCGCAGCA
RNAcentral lists this ribosomal RNA (636 nucleotides) under Stylocellus sp. Peninsula 22. RNAcentral describes it as "eukaryotic LSU rRNA". It matches the Rfam family "Eukaryotic large subunit ribosomal RNA", at positions 1277 to 1861 of the family's 3401-position model. Lineage: Eukaryota; Metazoa; Arthropoda; Arachnida; Opiliones; Stylocellidae. The record is from RNAcentral.